RNAcentral lists this ribosomal RNA (513 nucleotides) under uncultured bacterium. RNAcentral's name for it is "bacterial SSU rRNA". It matches the Rfam family "Bacterial small subunit ribosomal RNA", at positions 17 to 518 of the family's 1533-position model. The record is from RNAcentral.
UUAUGGCUCAGGAUGAACGCUAGCUACAGGCUUAACACAUGCAAGUCGAGGGGCAGCAUUGAGAUAGCUUGCUAUUCAGAUGGCGACCGGCGCACGGGUGAGUAACGCGUAUCCAACCUUCCCCUUAGUAGAGGAUAGCCCGGCGAAAGUCGGAUUAAUACUCUAUGUUGUAUUUUGAGGACAUCUGACGAAUACCAAAGAUUUAUCGCUAAGGGAUGGGGAUGCGUCUGAUUAGCUUGUUGGCGGGGUAACGGCCCACCAAGGCGACGAUCAGUAGGGGUUCUGAGAGGAAGGUCCCCCACAUUGGUACUGAGACACGGACCAAACUCCUACGGGAGGCAGCAGUGAGGAAUAUUGGUCAAUGGGCGAGAGCCUGAACCAGCCAAGUAGCGUGCAGGAACCGACUGCCCUAUGGGUUGUAAACUGCUUUUAUCAGGGAAUAAAGUGCGGCACGUGUGCUGUUUUGUAUGUACCUGAUGAAUAAGGACCGGCUAAUUCCGUGCCAGCCGCGGC